AUGUUGCGUGAGAGGUGUGGUCUAGUUGAUAGUGUGUAUGUGGCUGUAGAAGAAAAGGUUGCCAUGUUCUUGUUAGUAGUGGGUCAUGGUCUGAAAAUGAGGUUGCUUCGAGGCACAUACAAGCGGUCUUUGGGAACUAUAAGUACUCACUUUUCUGAAGUGUUAAGAGCCAUUCUAUCUAUGCAUGGAGAGUUCAUUAAGCUUCCGGAUGCUAAUGUUCAACCUCCCCAUGAUUACAAAUGGAAGUGGUUUGCUGGUGCACUAGGAGCAUUAGAUGGCUGUCAUGUAGAUGUUUCCGUUCCCGUGCCUUCCCAAGGGAGGUACAGGAAUAGGAAGCAAGCUGUCAGUACAAACAUGCUCGGUGUGGUGGACUGGAAUAUGAAAUUUCUGUAUGUCUUACCUGGCUGGGAAGGUUCCGCUUCAGACUCUAGAGUCCUACGCGACUCCAUGAGAACUAAUCGCCAAGAUGCACUUGUUGUACCUAAUGGUAUGGCUUUUUCUCUUGGCAUCUUGUUCUCUUUUCACAUGCUACAACCAACCUAA
Molecule: ribosomal RNA, 543 nt
Filed under: Triticum aestivum (bread wheat)
Lineage: Eukaryota; Viridiplantae; Streptophyta; Magnoliopsida; Poales; Poaceae
Description: partial small subunit ribosomal RNA
Source: RNAcentral